RNAcentral lists this ribosomal RNA (322 nucleotides) under uncultured eukaryote. RNAcentral describes it as "partial 18S ribosomal RNA". It matches the Rfam family "Eukaryotic small subunit ribosomal RNA", at positions 1470 to 1796 of the family's 1831-position model. The record is from RNAcentral.
CCCUUAGAUGUUCUGGGCCGCACGCGCGCUACACUGAUGCAUUCAACGAGUUUUUCCUGGUCCGAGAGGAAUGGGUAACCUUUUGAAAGUGCAUCGUGCUAGGGAUAGACUAUUGCAAUUAUUGGUCUUCAACGAGGAAUUCCUAGUAGACGUAGUUCAUCAGACUGCAUCGAUUACGUCCCUGCCCUUUGUACACACCGCCCGUCGCUCCUACCGAUUGGAUGAUCCGGUGAGCUAUUCGGACCUUCGCUUCGUCGAUUUUCGGCUUUGUGAGGGAAAGUCUCGUGAACCUUAUCAUCUAGAGGAAGGAGAAGUCGUAACA